Molecule: ribosomal RNA, 473 nt
Filed under: uncultured delta proteobacterium
Lineage: Bacteria; Deltaproteobacteria
Description: bacterial SSU rRNA
Rfam family: Bacterial small subunit ribosomal RNA
Source: RNAcentral
CGUGAGUGACGAAGGCUUUCGGGUCGUAAAGCUCUGUCAAGUGGGAAGAACCUGCAGUAUGCUAAUAUCAUAUUGCACUGACGGUACCACUGAAGGGAGCACCGGCUAACUCCGUGCCAGCAGCCGCGGUAAUACGGGGGGUGCAAGCGUUAUUCGGAAUCAUUGGGCGUAAAGAGCACGUAGGCGGCUUGGUAAGUCAGAUGUGAAAGCCCGGGGCUUAACCCCGGAAGUGCAUUUGAUACUGCCAGGCUUGAGUAUGGGAGAGGGAAGUGGAAUUCCUGGUGUAGAGGUGAAAUUCGUAGAUAUCAGGAGGAACACCGGUGGCGAAGGCGACUUCCUGGACCAAUACUGACGCUGAGGUGCGAAGGCGUGGGUAGCAAACAGGAUUAGAUACCCUGGUAGUCCACGCAGUAAACGUUGUUCACUAGGUGUAGCGGGUAUUGACCCCUGCUGUGCCGCAGUUAACGCAUUAA